Molecule: ribosomal RNA, 446 nt
Filed under: uncultured bacterium
Lineage: Bacteria
Description: partial 16S ribosomal RNA
Rfam family: Bacterial small subunit ribosomal RNA
Source: RNAcentral
CCUACGGGAGGCAGCAGUAGGGAAUUUUCGGCAAUGGGGGGAACCCUGACCGAGCAACGCCGCGUGAACGAAGAAGUUAUUCGUAAUGUAAAGUUCUUUUAACAGGGAAGAAAGAGAAAUUUGACGGUACCUGAAGAAUAAGCUCCGGCUAACUACGUGCCAGCAGCCGCGGUAAUACGUAGGGAGCGAGCGUUAUCCGGAAGUAUUGGUCGAAAAGGGUGCGUAGAUGGCAUAGUAAGUCUUUUGUAAAAAUGCUGGGCUCAACCCAGUAGGGCAAAAGAUACUGCAAAGCUAGAGUAUGACAGAGGCAAGUGGAACUACAUGUGUAGCGGUAAAAUGCGUAAAUAUAUGUAAGAACACCAGUGGCGAAGGCGGCUUGCUGGGUCGAUACUGACAUUGAGGCACGAAAGCGUGGGGAGCAAACAGGAUUAGAUACCCGUGUAGUC